GAAACUCCACCAUCAAAAUUCUGCCAAAUCCCACAUAUUCAGAAAUUCAAAAAUUUAUGACAGUUAUUCAAGCCACUAUUCACAUAAAUCUAGUAAACCUCAGAUUUCAUUCUUUUCUUAGUUGUCAUCAGCCUCAAAACUAUCCCACCAAUCUACCAUUCAAACCCCUGAUAACACGUCAAUUUUCCUGCCUUAGAGAACCUCUAAUAUCCUAAAUUCCCUGCUGCCUCUAAAAAAUGUAAAUCCAGUUUAUUGCGUUUCCUGUGCAUUUCACACUGUCAAACACCAUACAUGAAAAACAAACAAUCAAAGAACCUAUUUUUUUGCUGGUAACAAAAAAUUCCUACAACCAGGAACUGAAAUUCCUGCCACCAAACAGAAUCUUUUGUUCCUAAAAUCAAUCCUAGUUCAAAACCAAAAUUGGUACUACUGCUUAAUCAAGCAACUGAAUAAUGAUACAUUCUUAUUACCUUCUAAGUAGAUACUCAACUCAACUCAAC
This 500-nucleotide unclassified non-coding RNA is filed under the name Hevea brasiliensis (rubber tree). Lineage: Eukaryota; Viridiplantae; Streptophyta; Magnoliopsida; Malpighiales; Euphorbiaceae. The record is from RNAcentral.